CAAGGAUGCUGGCAUAAUGGUCAUCAGUGACCCGUCUUGAAACACGGACCAAGGAGUCGUCUUCGUAUGCGAGUGUUCGGGUGUUAAACCCCUACGCGUAAUGAAAGUGAACGCAGGUGAGAGCCCUCCAGGGCGCAUCAUCGACCGAUCCUGAUGUUCUCGGAUGGAUUUGAGUAAGAGCAUACGGGGCCGGACCCGAAAGAAGGUGAACUAUGCCUGUAUAGGGUGAAGCCAGAGGAAACUCUGGUGGAGGCUCGCAGCGGUUCUGACGUGCAAAUCGAUCGUCAAAUAUGGGCAUGGGGGCGAAAGACUAAUCGAACCUUCUAGUAGCUGGUUUCCGCCGAAGUUUCCCUCAGGAUAGCAGUGUUGAUUUCUCAGUUUUAUGAGGUAAAGCGAAUGAUUAGGGACCCGGGGGCGGCUUAUAGCCUUCAUCCAUUCUCAAACUUUAAAUAUGUAAGAAGCCCUUGUUGCUUAGGUGAACGUGGGCAUUCGAAUGUAUCAACACUAGUGGGCCAUUUUUGGUAAGCAGAACUGGCGAUGCGGGAUGAACCGAACGCGAGGUUAAGGUGCCAGAGUAGACGCUCAUCAGACACCACAAAAGGUGUUAGUACAUCUUGACAGCAGGACGGUGGCCAUGGAAGUCGGAAUCCGCUAAGGACUGUGUAACAACUCACCUGCCGAAUGUACUAGCCCUGAAAAUGGAUGGCGCUCAAGCGUCUCACCCAUACCUCGCCCUCGGGGUAGGAACGAUGCCCCGAGGAGUAGGCGGACGUGGGGGUCAGUGACGAAGCCCAGGGCGUGAGCCCGGGUCGAACGGCCCCUAGUGCAGAUCUUGGUGGUAGUAGCAAAUACUUCAAUGAGAACUUGAAGGACCGAAGUGGGGAUAAGUCGGAUC
This 895-nucleotide ribosomal RNA is filed under the name Staphylococcus aureus. Its description in RNAcentral is "partial 23S ribosomal RNA". It matches the Rfam family "Eukaryotic large subunit ribosomal RNA", at positions 618 to 1513 of the family's 3401-position model. The record is from RNAcentral. Lineage: Bacteria; Bacillati; Bacillota; Bacilli; Caryophanales; Staphylococcaceae.